RNAcentral lists this ribosomal RNA (328 nucleotides) under uncultured eukaryote. Its description in RNAcentral is "partial 18S ribosomal RNA". It matches the Rfam family "Eukaryotic small subunit ribosomal RNA", at positions 1470 to 1796 of the family's 1831-position model. The record is from RNAcentral.
CCCUUAGAUGUCCUGGGCCGCACGCGCGUUACACUGAUGCAUUCAACGAGCUUAUAACCUUGGCCGAGAGGCCCGGGCAAUCUUGUUAACGUGCAUCGUGAUAGGGAUAGAUUAUUGAAAUUAUUAAUCUUGAACGAGGAAUUCCUAGUAAACGCAGAUCAUCAAUCUGCAUUGAUUACGUCCCUGCCCUUUGUACACACCGCCCGUCGCACCUACCGAUUGGAUGGUCCGGUGAAGCCUCGGGAUUGUGGUUCUUGCCGCUUUAUUGUGGCGUGACCGCGAGAACUUGUCUAAACCUUAUCAUCUAGAGGAAGGUGAGGUCGUAACA